ACUGGCCUAAGUAGUGUAUACACAUGCUUAACACACACACACACCACACACACACCACACUCACACCACACAUACCCAUGCACACACACCACACAUAUCCACACACACACCACACACACACCACACAUACCCACACACACCACACACACACACCACACUCACACCACACAUACCCACACACACCCACCACACAUACCCACAAACACCACACACACACACCACACACACACCACACAUGCCCACACACACAUCACACACACCACACAUACCCUCACAACCACACACACACCACACACACGACAAACACCACCCUCACACACCACACACACCACAAAUACAUACACACCUCACGCCCCCACACCAUACACACACCACAUACCCACACACGACACGCACACACCACACAUACCCACACACACCACAGACGCACACACCAUACACACCACACACACGCCACACACACACACACUCACUCUGAUCC
RNAcentral lists this long non-coding RNA (481 nucleotides) under Homo sapiens (human). Its description in RNAcentral is "HSALNT0125802". The record is from RNAcentral. Lineage: Eukaryota; Metazoa; Chordata; Mammalia; Primates; Hominidae.